Long non-coding RNA from Macaca fascicularis (crab-eating macaque), 3367 nucleotides. NCBI's taxonomy places the organism in Eukaryota, Metazoa, Chordata, Mammalia, Primates, Cercopithecidae. The record is from Ensembl.
UCACAGUAAACUUUUAUUUAACUAUGUACAACUUCAGUUAAAAAUUAUAUUUAAUAGAAUCUAAAUGUCAUUGAAUCAGUAAGAUUCACCAUUUCUUAUGUACCACCAAGAAAACAAUAACCUGCUAAUUAAAAUGUGAGUCUAUCAAUUGUAAAAUAUAUUCCAGUUUCAAACACGUUAAAUAAUGUAUAGUUCAGAAUAACAUAUAGUAACUAAAAACAGGUCUUUUUUUGUUUUUUCAUGCCUCCGAGACAAGUUUGAAUUUCUUAGUUUAUUUUUAAAUAAUGUAAAUGAGUGUUACAAAUUUCUCAGGAAUCAACAGCACUUUUAAGAUGAGUUGGGCAUCUUGUCCCUCCCUACCCAAACAUAUACAUUCUCCCCUUUCCUCUUAACCCCUCUAAAUGUAUCUAUUCUUUCUAGUUUUCUGCUCCUUGUUAUGAAAAUAGCCCUUCCCAUCUUAAUUUCUCUUCAUUUCUUAGUCCAUUUGGGCUAUUGUAACAAAAAUACCAUAGACUAGGUGGCUUCAACAACACUUAUUCCUCACAGUUCUGGAGACUGGGGGAGGUCAAGGUGCUGGUAGAUUCAGUGUCUGGUGAGGGUCUGCGUCAUGCUUUGUAGACAGCCAUUUUCUUGCUGUGUCCUCACAUGGUGGAAAAGGGAGACAGCUCCCCAGGGCCUCUUUUAUAAGGGCACUAAUCCCAUUCAUGAGGGGCUCCACCCUCAAAACCCAAUCACCUCCCAAAUGCCCUACCUCCAAAUAGUCCUAGGAGUUAGAAUUUCACCAUAUGAAUUUCGGGGGAUGCACACAUUCAGUGUGUAACACUUCCUUAAACCUGUUUCUUAAUGUGUGCUCUUUGCAGGAGCUGAAUACAAUGAAUGUAGUUUUUGGUGAAGAGGUUGGUGAGGGGAAGAAACAUGGACUUUGGGAAGAAGAAUGUAGGUUUGCUUCUUGGUUCACAUUUAUUAGUUUCCCUUUGGCUGCAGGUAGCAUAGUAGACAGCCCAAAUCAAAAUGGCUUGAACAAUAAUGAAAAUACAUUAUUUCAGGUGGUAUGACAUGAAAUCUGAAGGUGGGGGUCUCUCUAAGACUGGUUAAGUCCAUGGCUCAGCUGUUAUCAUAACUUCUUCCCAACUUUCCUCUCUGUUAUCUUCAGCUAGCACCCCUUGAAAUCUUAAGACAGCUGCCUCCGUUCUGGUGUCAUAAUCGCUAUUAUAAGAUUGUAAUAGAGAUGAAAAAUAGAUUUAAAAUGCAUAGACACAAUCCUAGCAUUCAGCAGGUGCUCAACCUGAGAUAUUCUGAUCUCACCAAACUCCAAAUGUGGUAUCUGUGCUUCUAAUUGGCAGGAAGAGUCCCAUGCUCAUUAGGCACAUCACCAAAUCACCUAGUAUUUUGACUUCAGCAAGCACAACUCAGAAGAAAUCCCCUCCUCCCUUUUUUUUUUUUUAAAGAGACAAGGCUCUGUCGCCCAGGCUGGAGUGCAGUGGCACAAUCAGAACUCACUGCAACCUUGAAUUCAUGGGCUCCAGUGAUCCUCCUACCUCAGACUCCUAAGUAGCUGAGACUCAAGAAGUACACCUCCAUGCCUGGUUAAUUUUAAAAUUUUCUGUAAAGAUGAUGAGAUCUUGCUAUGUUGCCAAGGCUGGUCUCAAACUCCUGGACUCAAGUGAUCCUCCUGCCUUGGCUUCCCAGAAUGCCGAGAUUAAAGGUAUGAGCCACUGCACCCAGCCUGAAGAAAUCCUUGCAUGUAACACCCCCAAUGGUUAUGCUUAUAAGAAACUAGUCAGUGAACUGAGACAAUUAUGCUGAAAGUCAGGAAAACUAUUAAAACAGGAGACAGUCAUUUAACAUCUCUGGGUCUGAAUUCCUGAAGUUCUAAGAUUGGAUCAAGUCAAAACACCAAAAGGCUACAUACCUGACCUAUAUUAUCUCACCAACAGAUAAACACUGAAUUCUGCCCGGGCACGGUGGCUCAUGCCUGUAAUCCCAGCACUUUGGGAGGCCAAGGUGGGCAGCUCAUGAGGUCAGGAGAUCGAGACCAUCCUGGUUAACAUGGUGAAACCCCGUCCCUACUAAAAAUACAAAAAAUUAGCUGGGCGUGGUGGCACACGCCUGUAGUCCCAGCUACUUGGGAGGCUGAGGCAGGAGAAUCGCUUGAACCUGGGAGGCGGAGGUUGCAGUGAGCCGAGAUCGUACCACUGCACUCCAGCCUAGGCAACAAAGUGAGACUGUCAAAAAAAAAAAAAAAUUGAGUUCUACUAUGAUGUAGCUUUUAGUAACUGAUCAUAAAAAGACCCAUAUGAAACGUGUCACACAGAAUUUUAGAAAUCAGAAUUCUGUCCAUUCUAUUCUGUGAUUUCCAUAAUGAAGACCCACAUAAGAAUUGUUUUUAUGAAAUUAAGAGAGGUUUUGCCUCCUGCCUCCUUUCUGAUAUUGAGAGGUAAGUAGUUGAUCACUUUAUCCUGUUUGCUUUGGCUUUAAAGACGGUCAGGGAUAAAUUUAAUCGAGCCAUGAUAACCAUGCUGGCCAAAUAAAUCUGUGCAGAUUUUUCCCAUAUAAUUUUCUUGCUUUAUUUCUCCUGGUUUGAAUUUUUUAGACUAUGGUUUUAUUACAUAUCUAUAUAAUAUAUAUAUACACACACACACAUAUAUAUUAUAUAUUAUAUACGCUUGGAGCGGCAUCAAGGGUCAGUGAGAUUUACUUCACAGGAGGAAACCAAGGGGAGCAGAGGGAAGUAGGAAGCCCGGCUUGGUAUGGCUACAAUGGCUAGUUGAUAGAGUACUUUGGACGAAUGGCUCUUGGGACGAAUGGCUCUUGGUUCAGGGAACGACACAGUGAGGGCAUGGCUGAAGCAGUAUACUCAGAAAUCUGCUCUGAGGAACCAGAGCAAACUGUACAGAGGAAAGGGGAGAAUAGAGGCCAGCAGCUGGCUGUGAGGUGCUGCCAUAACCCAGGUAGGAGAGACCCACCGGCUAGCAGCUGCUUUGACAACACAGGACACAUUCAUGAGAAUCUCUCUCUCCUAACUUGAUUCAACACAAGUUAAGAUAUUUCACUGACACGGGUAUGCUUGUUUCUUAAAACAAGUAUUUGAAAAAGAAGAGGUUUUUAACCUACUCUGUUUGACUUCUGAGUGCCUCAAAUCUCUGCUGUCUCUUUUAAGUGUACAAGUGAGAUGGGUGCUGCCUCAGAAAUAUAAGAAUUGUUUUUUCCCUUAUAUAUAAACUUUAUAUAUAGAAUCUAUACUUCAUAAGUAUCAAACUAUACAUGAGGUAAUAUUAGGAAAAAACUGCUAGACUGUAGUAGAAGAUUAAUUACAAGUAUUGACAAGGCUCAUGAAAAUUAAAAAAUUAAGUAUUCCUAUUUACUC